RNAcentral lists this ribosomal RNA (505 nucleotides) under uncultured bacterium. Its description in RNAcentral is "partial 16S ribosomal RNA". It matches the Rfam family "Bacterial small subunit ribosomal RNA", at positions 29 to 523 of the family's 1533-position model. The record is from RNAcentral.
AGUGAACGCUGGCGGUAGGCCUAACACAUGCAAGUCGAACGGCAGCACAGGAGAGCUUGCUCUCUGGGUGGCGAGUGCGGACGGGUGAGGAAUACAUCGGAAUCUACUCUGUCGUGGAGGAUAACGUAGGGAAACUUACGCUAAUACCGCAUACGACCUACGGGUGAAAGCAGGGGACCUUCGGGCCUUGCGCGAUUGAAUGAGCUGAUGUCGGAUGAGCUAGUUGGCGGGGUAAAGGCCCACCAAGGCGACGAUCCGUAGCUGGUCUGAGAGGAUGAUCAGCCACACUGGAACUGAGACACGGUCCAGACUCCUACGGGAGGCAGCAGUGGGGAAUAUUGGACAAUGGGCGCAAGCCUGAUCCAGCCAUACCGCGUGGGUGAAGAAGGCCUUCGGGUUGUAAAGCCCUUUUGUUGGGAAAGAAAUCCAGCUGGCUAAUACCCGGUUGGGAUGACGGUACCCAAAGAAUAAGCACCGGCUAACUUCGUGCCAGCCGCCGCGGUAA